UACGGGGGGGGCAAGCGUUGUUCGGAAUUACUGGGCGUAAAGGGCUCGUAGGUGGCCAACUAAGUCAGACGUGAAAUCCCUCGGCUUAACCGGGGAACUGCGUCUGAUACUGGAUGGCUUGAGUUCGGGAGAGGGAUGCGGAAUUCCAGGUGUAGCGGUGAAAUGCGUAGAUAUCUGGAGGAACACCGGUGGCGAAGGCGGCAUCCUGGACCGACACUGACACUGAGGGGCGAAAGCCAGGGGAGCAAACGGG
This 253-nucleotide ribosomal RNA is filed under the name uncultured bacterium. RNAcentral describes it as "partial 16S ribosomal RNA". It matches the Rfam family "Bacterial small subunit ribosomal RNA", at positions 524 to 776 of the family's 1533-position model. The record is from RNAcentral.